GACGAACGCUGGCGGCGUGCUUAACACAUGCAAGUCGAACGGAAAGGCCCUGCUUUUGUGGGGUGCUCGAGUGGCGAACGGGUGAGUAUCACGUGAGUAACCUGCCCUUGUCUUUGGGAUAACUUCAGGAAACUGGGGCUCAUACCGGAUAGGAUCUCCUGCUGCAUGGUGGGGGUUGGAAAGUUUCGGUGGUAGGGGAUGGAGUCGCGGCUUAUCAGCUUGUUGGUGGGGUAGUUGCUGACCAAGGUUUUGACGGGUAGCCGGCAUGAGAGGGUGACCGGCCACAAUGGGACUGAGAGACGGCGCAGUCUCCUACGGGAGGCAGCAGUGGGGAAUAUUGCACAAUGGGCGGAAGCCUGAUGCAGCAACGCCGCGUGCGGGAUGACGGCCUUCGGGUUGUAAACCGCUUUCGCCUGUGACGAAGCGUGAGUGACGGUAAUGGGUAAAGAAGCACCGGCUAACUACGUG
This 468-nucleotide ribosomal RNA is filed under the name uncultured bacterium. RNAcentral's name for it is "partial 16S ribosomal RNA". It matches the Rfam family "Bacterial small subunit ribosomal RNA", at positions 28 to 507 of the family's 1533-position model. The record is from RNAcentral.